UACGUAGGGCGCAAGCGUUGUCCGGAAUUAUUGGGCGUAAAGAGCUCGUAGGCGGCUUGUCACGUCUGCUGUGAAAUCCCGGGGCUCAACCCCGGGCGUGCAGUGGAUACGGGCUGGCUAGAGGCAGGCAGGGGAGAACGGAAUUCCCGGUGUAGCGGUGAAAUGCGCAGAUAUCAGGAAGAACACCAAUGGCGAAGGCAGCUCUCUGGGACGGUACUGACACUGAGACGCGAAAGCGUGGGGAGCAAACAGG
Molecule: ribosomal RNA, 253 nt
Filed under: uncultured bacterium
Lineage: Bacteria
Description: partial 16S ribosomal RNA
Rfam family: Bacterial small subunit ribosomal RNA
Source: RNAcentral